GAGUGGGUUUCAGAGAAGCUCUGUCAAUCAGCGCUCAAUCUGUAUGUUCUCCAAGACAUUCCUUAUCCUGGCUGAUUUAUUUCAUAUUAAAAGGGCUGUCAAUCUGUAUCACAGGAACAGGUUGAAAAAACGAACAUGUUGGCACCAUGCUACAGUGAGAACCACAUGUCUGAACAUUCAAAAUCUAAUCCUGUGCCACCGUCAAAGCAGCAGACACUGAUAUGAGAAUGUGUGGGAGCAGCCAGAGCAUCUGGAGAGAAGCUGGUCUGAGCAUGAUGAACAAGGUUAGCCGCCUGAGAAGGUACAAUCAUAAUAAAGCCUGCUGCACAGGGGUGGUUUGGAAACUACAGGCAUGUCUACACAUGAACCUUCACCUGUAAAAAGGUAGGAGGUAUAUUUAAAGCAGAUUAUCUGUUUGCACUGAUGUCCCCGGGCCAGAACUAUGCAAGUCUCUCCCCGUGUUUUGCUGCAGGCAUUAGCCUAAAUACAAACUCCUUUGUAGAUAAUAACAUCCAGGCAAAACAGGAAGCAGCGAUAAAC
Pelodiscus sinensis (Chinese soft-shelled turtle) is the source of this 540-nucleotide non-coding RNA. The record is from RefSeq and is a predicted model, not a curated record. NCBI's taxonomy places the organism in Eukaryota, Metazoa, Chordata, Testudines, Trionychidae.